UCUCCUGUAGCUCAGUGGUAGAUGCGUCCGACCGGUGUGCGGAAGGUCAAUCAUAGGUUCGACUCUUGUUGGGGGAA
Non-coding RNA from Desmophyllum pertusum, 77 nucleotides. The record is from the annotation of a GenBank genome assembly. Lineage: Eukaryota; Metazoa; Cnidaria; Anthozoa; Scleractinia; Caryophylliidae.